RNAcentral lists this ribosomal RNA (430 nucleotides) under uncultured bacterium. Its description in RNAcentral is "bacterial SSU rRNA". It matches the Rfam family "Bacterial small subunit ribosomal RNA", at positions 29 to 507 of the family's 1533-position model. The record is from RNAcentral.
AACGAACGCUGGCGGCAGGCCUUUAAAUGCAAGUCGAGCGCACCUUCGGGUGAGCGGCGGACGGGUUAGUAACGCGUGGGAACGUGCCCUUCUCCACGGAAUAGCCUCUGGAAACGGAGAGUAAUACCGUAUACGCCCUUUGGGGGAAAGAUUUAUCGGAGAAGGAUCGGCCCGCGUUAGAUUAGGUAGUUGGUGGGGUAACGGCCUACCAAGCCUACGAUCUAUAGCUGGUUUUAGAGGAUGAUCAGCAACACUGGGACUGAGACACGGCCCAGACUCCUACGGGAGGCAGCAGUGGGGAAUCUUAGACAAUGGGGGCAACCCUGAUCUAGCCAUGCCGCGUGAGUGAUGAAGGCCUUAGGGUCGUAAAGCUCUUUCGCCUGUGAUGAUAAUGACAGUAGCAGGUAAAGAAACCCCGGCUAACUCCGUG